AAUAGUGUGCUUGAUAAAAAGACCGUCUUGAUAGGGCGGAAAAUGAGACAUUAGCCCCUCCACUAUUA
This 68-nucleotide transfer RNA is filed under the name Typhlatya monae. RNAcentral's name for it is "tRNA-Ile". The record is from RNAcentral. Lineage: Eukaryota; Metazoa; Arthropoda; Malacostraca; Decapoda; Atyidae.